This 253-nucleotide ribosomal RNA is filed under the name uncultured bacterium. RNAcentral's name for it is "partial 16S ribosomal RNA". It matches the Rfam family "Bacterial small subunit ribosomal RNA", at positions 524 to 776 of the family's 1533-position model. The record is from RNAcentral.
UACGGGGGGAGCAAGCGUUGUUCGGAUUUACUGGGCGUAAAGGGCGCGUAGGCGGCGCAACAAGUCACUUGUGAAAUCUCCGGGCUUAACCCGGAGCGGCCAAGUGAUACUGUCGUGCUAGAGUGCGGAAGGGGCUACUGGAAUUCUCGGUGUAGCGGUGAAAUGCGUAGAUAUCGAGAGGAACAUCUGCGGCGAAGGCGGGUAGCUGGGCCGACACUGACGCUGAGGCGCGAAAGCCAGGGGAGCGAACGGG